AUGCUAAAAAUUGAUCUUUCUAAGGCUUUUGAUAGGAUAGAGUGGAGCUUCAUCAGAAGAGCUCUGCUACGAAAAGGGCUGCAUAGUCAUUUCAUCAAUUUAAUUUUAGAAUGUAUAUCUUCUGCUACUUUUUCAGUUAACAUAAAUGGGCAGCCUUUCGGUAGCUUUAAGGGAUCCCGAGGCAUCCGACAAGGAUGUCCUCUAUCGUCGUAUCUUUUUAUACUUGUUGUCAAUGAGUUGUCGCUUUCUUUGCAGGAAGCCUUAGACACUAAUCAUCUUAGCGGUAUUCAACUGGGACCCAACUGUCCUUCUAUUCACUCUUUAAUGUUUGCAGAUGAUUUGAUUGUUUGUGGCAGGGCAGACAAUGAAGAUGCGGAUACUAUUGCUCACAUCCAACCAAUUUUGCGAAGCUUCAGGUCAAACUCCCAACUGGAACAAAUCAGCAAUCUUAUUUAG
Molecule: ribosomal RNA, 456 nt
Filed under: Triticum aestivum (bread wheat)
Lineage: Eukaryota; Viridiplantae; Streptophyta; Magnoliopsida; Poales; Poaceae
Description: partial small subunit ribosomal RNA
Source: RNAcentral